This 2612-nucleotide long non-coding RNA is filed under the name Homo sapiens (human). Its description in RNAcentral is "HSALNT0199824". Lineage: Eukaryota; Metazoa; Chordata; Mammalia; Primates; Hominidae. The record is from RNAcentral.
GGCUAACAUGGUAAAACCCCAUCUCUACUAAAAAUACAAAAAUUAGCCGGGCGUGGUGGCGCAUGCCUGUAGUCCCAGCUACUCGGGAGGCUGAGGCAGGAGAAUCCCUUGAACCAGGGAGUCAGAGGUUGCAGUGAGCCGAGAUCACGCCACAGCACUCUAGCCUGGCGACAGAGCAAAACUCUGUCUAAAAAAAAAAAAAAAGAAAGAAAAUGCAAAAAUCAGCUGGGUGUGGUGGCACACGCCUGUAGUCCCAGCUACUCAGGAGGCUGAGGCAGGAGAAUUGCUUGAACCUGGGAGGCGGAGGUUGCAGUGAGCUGAGAUUGUGCCAUGCACUCCAGUGUAGGCAGCAGAGGGAGACUCCAUCUCAAAAGUAAAAUAAAAUAAAAUAAAAAUAAAUUGACCAAAUGGAUUUUAUCUCAGAAAUGCAAUCAGUGAGAUCGAUCAGAUAAUUUACCACAUUUAAAGAAUAAUAUUGCAGAAACAUCUUGAAAAUGAGAUAUAAAAUGUUUUAAUGCCAUUUUCAAUGUCAUAACAUGCACAAACAUUAUUUUGAGACCCCAACAUAAAACUUAAAACCACAAAUUUUGUAGAAAAAUAAUACAAAAUAUUUUUCAACUUUGAAGUGGGUGAAAUUUGCCUAGAAAAGACACAAAAAGCCCUAAACAUAAAACAAUGAUAAAUUGAACCUCAAUAAAGUAAAAAAAAAAAAAAAAAAAAAAAAAGUCUGCUUCUGAAAAGGCAAGUCACAGACCAGAAGAAAAUAUUUGUUUUCUGUGUAUGUAUGUACAUACAUACAAAACCUUUGUCAGGUUUUGGUAAUAGGGUUAUUUUCGCCCCAUAAAUGAGCUGAUAUUAUUUACAACUACAUCUACAUAUUUAAUUUACAUCUACAUAUUUAAUUAUCUGCAUCUACCUGUCUAUAUACUAAAAAGACAACCAAAUCAACAAAUGAGCUGAUAUUAUUUACAUCUACAUCUACAUAUUUAAUUUACAUCUACGUAUUUAAUUAUCUACAUCUACCUGUCUAUAUACUAAAAAGACAACCAAAUCAACAACAACCAAAAAAAGUGUUAAAAAAAGACUUCACAAUAGAAGCUAUAAGAAGACCCAAUAAACUCAUGAAAAGAUGCUCAACACCAUUCAUUAUUAGAGAAAUGCUAUUAAAGACACCAAGAUAGCCUUUUACAUGGACUAGAAUGGCGGAAUAUUGAAGAGAUUGAUAAAACAGUACUCCCAGUAUCAGAGAGUUGUAGAAUAACUGGAGCUGUCAUAUGUUGUUGAAGAAUGUAAAAUAAAUUACAAACAUUUUGGCAAAGUUUGGCAGUGUUUUUGUAAAACUAACAUACAUACUACACCUUCCAGCAAAUCUGCUCCUAGAAAUGAGUAUGUACGCCUACAAAAAGGCUUAUUCAAGAAUAUUCAUAGCUACUUUAUUCAUAAUAGUUAUGAGCUGGAAAAAAACUCAGGCAACCCAAACUAGUAACAACCCAAAUGUCCUCCAACAAGAGAACAGAUAAACAAAUUGUGGUAUACUCAUACAAGGCAGUACUAAUCAGCAAUAAAAACAAAUGAACUACUGAUGCAUGCAUUGCUAAGAUACUGACUAAAUGUCUGUAAGGGUGAUCUUGGACACUUGUGGGCCCCGCUGCGGGCAGAGUGAGGCACUGCCUCUGUGCUUUUCAGUGCUUGAAUCCCACCUGUGCUCAUCACCAUCAUGGUGCUGAAAACAGCACUAUCAGCAUUUAUGUAUUUGUUUACUUCCCCAUCUCCUUACACCAAGAGUUCCUUCAAGUUGGCAAUGGUCUUCCUCACAUCUUUAAUUACCCAAUGUCCUGCCCAGCAUUGGAGAUCUAGCACAGACUCAACCAACAUUUAUGAAAGAACAACGGACACUCAGAUGCAGCUUUUAUUUCCUUUGAGCCUCCUAAGGCCAGUACAAUAGCUAUUCAACAGUGUCUGUUAAAUAGCAAGUGAGAGUCAUUAUUUGGAUGUAGGUAAUUGGAUAAAGUUUCUAUCUUGCCAGCAGUUUGUCUAGAUUAGUUAUAGAUAACUUAAUCCAAGGCAACUUGCCCAAGGCCACCCAGCUGGUCAGGUGUCAGAUGUGGGUGACUGACUAGUUGUUCUUCCCACCUCACUGCAGCUGCCUCCUCUCAUAAUAUGCUCAAGGAGUCAGUGCCUAAAAGUGGUACUUCCUUCCAUGCAGAACAACUGCAAGCUGUCAGAAUCUGUACAAGGAAGAUGUCAUCCUGUUUGGCUGGGGUACCUCGGAAGCAGUGGGAGGUGGAGUCCCUCCCACAUGCCAUCCUGAGGGCAGCAGUGGCAGUUCUUUUGCUUCCUGUCCCUUCUGAGGGGCAGAGCAGAGCCUUUUCUGAGAAUCAAGUCAGAGCAAGCCUAGGCACAAGAGUGAGUGGAGGAGGGGUAGGGUCACAGACAUUUUAGCCUCUUCAUGCUUGAGAAAGAAAUGAGAACUCAUCUUCUCAGAGGCAAGGGCAGAGGUAGAAGCCCAGCCUGUCCUGAACGAGAAGGGUGACCUUGGCAGUACUCUAAGAAGUAGUCAAGUCCGGGUGUGGUGGCUCACGCCUGUAAUCCCAGCACUUUGGGAGGCCGAG